CGCCUGGAUCGGACCUGCUCGUCAAGGAGACCCACGCCAUGGAGCUGCUCGUCAAUGUUCCACCCUGGCACACAUCCAACAUCGCCAUGGACCAGUAGCUCAAGCCGUCUUCUUCCAGAUGGUGAUGGGGUUCCCUCACCAUCUGCAGGUCAUCAUCCUUAAGGGCUCCACCAUCUGCAGUGUCUACAGUGGACUAUUUGCAUCUUCAGUGCAAAUACCUGAUUGUAUAUGGAUGGAUUGUAGGGUCUAACCACCUUGAUUUGAUUCGGGCUGGAGCAGCAGCAGCAGGUCCUUCCUUCCAUGGAGGGCAUCCACAACAUGACCCGCACAAGGAGCUCCAAGCAGACAAAGCACAGGUUUCUUUGUUUGUAAAUUAAGCAGUCUGGUAGAUUUGGAAAGGAGGAACAGGGUACUGAACUUUUAUAUAUCUGCACAAGGAAUACUAUGUUAUGUAAGAACAUGGCGGUGCAGUCACCCGAGGUGAAGAAGCUCUGUCACCUACCUCUACAUCCUCCACUAGGCUGACAAGCACAACUGCUAACAAGUAUGCUAAUCCACCCUCAUCUGCAUCGCUUCCUCCUAGCCUGUGAUUUAUGACAUGGAGCAUGUUGUUCUGUUAUCAUAUACACGAAUCUGUCCAUGCUUAAAUGUGGUCAUAGGUUGUGGAAUAGGAGAAACAAUAUAAUGUUCUUUAGCAGAUGCAAACCUGUCCAUGCCUUAUUUGGACCAAUAAUUACUGGUGUUGCCUAUUUGAUAUGUAAACAUAUUUUUUUGGAUGUCACAGAAAAAUGCCAUGCUACUACAUAAGUUUGAAUCAAACAAAUUAAAUUUGUAAUAAGAUCCCUGAAAGUAAUUAAGUGCUUCUUGAAUGCAUGGAAACAACAAGUUAGAUAUCUCAGAGGUACUAUGUCAUAUAUUCUGAAAGUGGCGCACAUGGAUAUGUAUUCUUGGUUAGCUUUAUGUUCCAUUUCUGUUGUACAUGCUCCAAGAGUUAAUGUGUUAUUCUGAAAGGAUAUGAAGUGAAUUGUCUUCUACUGCAAUCAAUGGGCAUUUCGUUCUACACAUAUGUCCUGAUGUUGUAGUGCCACUUGAUUUCCUUUAAAAUUUCAGUAACAAUUGAGCAAUAUUGGCCUUCCCUUUUUCCUGUAUUAAGUACUAUUCAUGGAGUCAAAGCUCAUGGAGAUGGUCUGUUACUGAUUGCUGCA
Long non-coding RNA from Triticum dicoccoides, 1205 nucleotides. RefSeq lists it as uncharacterized. Lineage: Eukaryota; Viridiplantae; Streptophyta; Magnoliopsida; Poales; Poaceae. The transcript is spliced from 5 exons. The record is from RefSeq and is a predicted model, not a curated record.